ACGGCUCAGUAACACGUGGAUAACCUGCCCUUGGGUCCGGCAUAACCCCGGGAAACUGGGGAUAAUUCCGGAUAACGCACAUAUGCUGGAAUGCUUUAUGCGUAAAAUGGAUUCGUCUGCCCAAGGAUGGGUCUGCGGCCUAUCAGGUAGUAGUGGGUGUAAUGUACCUACUAGCCAACAACGGGUACGGGUUGUGAGAGCAAGAGCCCGGAGAUGGAUUCUGAGACAUGAAUCCAGGCCCUACGGGGCGCAGCAGGCGCGAAAACUUUACAAUGCGGGAAACCGUGAUAAGGGGACACCGAGUGCCAGCAUCAUAUGCUGGCUGUCCAGGUGUGUAAAAUACACCUGUCAGCAAGGGCCGGGCAAGACCGGUGCCAGCCGCCGCGGUAACACCGGCGGCCCGAGUGGUGAUCGUGAUUAUUGGGUCUAAAGGGUCCGUAGCCGGUUUGGUCAGUCCUCCGGGAAAUCUGACGGCUCAACCGUUAGGCUUUCGGGGGAUACUGCCAGGCUUGGAACCGGGAGAGGUAAGAGGUACUACAGGGGUAGGAGUGAAAUCUUGUAAUCCCUGUGAGACCACCUGUGGCGAAGGCGUCUUACCAGAACGGGUUCGACGGUAAGGGACGAAAGCUGGGGGCACGAACCGGAUUAGAUACCCGGGUAGUCCCAGCCGUAAACGAUGCUCGCUAGGUGUCAGGCAUGGCGCGACCGUGUCUGGUGCCGCAGGGAAGCCGUGAAGCGAGCCACCUGGGAAGUACGGCCGCAAGGCUGAAACUUAAAGGAAUUGGCGGGGGAGCAC
This 796-nucleotide ribosomal RNA is filed under the name uncultured Methanosarcinaceae archaeon. RNAcentral's name for it is "bacterial SSU rRNA". It matches the Rfam family "Archaeal small subunit ribosomal RNA", at positions 85 to 879 of the family's 1478-position model. The record is from RNAcentral. Lineage: Archaea; Methanobacteriati; Methanobacteriota; Methanomicrobia; Methanosarcinales; Methanosarcinaceae.